Molecule: ribosomal RNA, 220 nt
Filed under: Escherichia coli
Lineage: Bacteria; Pseudomonadati; Pseudomonadota; Gammaproteobacteria; Enterobacterales; Enterobacteriaceae
Description: partial 23S ribosomal RNA
Rfam family: Bacterial large subunit ribosomal RNA
Source: RNAcentral
GGUGUUCGGGUUGUCAUGCCAAUGGCACUGCCCGGUAGCUAAAUGCGGAAGAGAUAAGUGCUGAAAGCAUCUAAGCACGAAACUUGCCCCGAGAUGAGUUCUCCCUGACUCUUUAAGGGUCCUGAAGGAACGUUGAAGACGACGACGUUGAUAGGCCGGGUGUGUAAGCGCAGCGAUGCGUUGAGCUAACCGGUACUAAUGAACCGUGAGGCUUAACCUU